CCCGAGACUGAGUCCCAUCCUGACACAACUCUUGUCUUGGUGUGCUAGGGUCCUCGGAGAGGACCCGCUGGCCUUGAUUCCCUGGUGGGGCAAACAAGGCCUCCACUAGCGCCCUGCUCAGAAACAUGC
This is a small nucleolar RNA of Echinops telfairi (small Madagascar hedgehog), 129 nucleotides long. Lineage: Eukaryota; Metazoa; Chordata; Mammalia; Afrosoricida; Tenrecidae. The record is from Ensembl.